RNAcentral lists this ribosomal RNA (1216 nucleotides) under Alectorobius microlophi. RNAcentral's name for it is "16S ribosomal RNA". Lineage: Eukaryota; Metazoa; Arthropoda; Arachnida; Ixodida; Argasidae. The record is from RNAcentral.
UAAAAAUUUAAUUGUUGAGUUUUUAAAAAAUAGGUAUAUUGUUUUUGAAAUGUAAAUAAUUUUAAAAAUGUUUCGAUAGUUUAGGGUAUUGAAAGAGAUUUUUGAAAAAAUGAAAAAAGUUUUAUAAAAUAGUAAUGUAUUUGUACCUUUUGUAUCAGGGUUUAACUAAAUUAAUUAAUUAUUUAUACAUCUCGAAAAGUUUUGAGCUAUUUAUUUGUAUUUAUUUGCUGUUUCAGUAGUAAAUUGUUAUAUAAAUAGAAAUGAAAUUUUUUUCAAAAAGUUUGAUAUCUGGUUAUUGAAGAAAAAUUAAAUGUUUUAGAUAGCUAAAUUAUUUUAAAAGGGUUAUUAAUUUUCUUUUUAGGGAUAAGCUUAAAAAGUUUUUAAAAAGGUUUUAAAAAUUUAUUGAAGGUUUAGAAGUUACUUAUUAUUUGUAAUAAAGUAAUAUUUUUAUUGUUGUUUUUAUUAAUUUUUUCUUAAAAAAUUUUUAUUAAAAGAAUUAAUGUUAAAAUUAGUAUAAGUUUUAAUUUAAGUUUAUAAUUAAUAUUUUAAGAUUUUAGCAAUUAGAUUUUUAGAAAUUAGGCAUAGAAAGUCUUUGAACGUUUAUCAAAAACAUAGUAUCUUGGUGGUAGUAAGAUAUGAAACCUGCUCAAUGUUGAUAAAUUGCUGUGGUAUUUUGACUAUACGAAGGUAUUGAAAUAAGGCUUUAAUUGAGUGCUAAGAGAAUGGUUAAACAAGGACUAACUUUCUUAAAAUUUAUAAUAAAAGUUAAUUUAAAAAUGAAAAAGUUUUUAUUUAUUUUUGGGACAAGAAGACCCUAUGAAUUUUUUUUAAAAAGUUAUUUAUUAUUUUUAAAAGGGAAAAUGAAGUAUUUUUUUAAAUUGGUUGGGGUGAUUUUUAAAGAAUAAUUAUCUUUAAAAAAAGUUGAAAGUAGAACCAUAUUUUGUGGAUAUUUAAUCUAAAUACUCUAGGGUUAACAGCGAUUUUGGAUAGUUCAUAUAGAUAAAAUAGUUUGCGACCUCGAUGUUGGAUUAAGAUACUUAUAUAAUGAAGAAGUUAUAUUAAGGAGUUUGCUCAACUUUUAAAAUCUUACAUGAUCUGAGUUCAGACCGGCGUGAGCCAGGUUGGUUUCUAUCUAAAUAAUAAUAUAUAUUUUUAUAGUACGAAAGGAAUUAAAAUUAUAAAAUUUUUAUUAAAUUAUAAAAAAUUAAAUAAUUAU